Molecule: ribosomal RNA, 274 nt
Filed under: uncultured bacterium
Lineage: Bacteria
Description: partial 16S ribosomal RNA
Rfam family: Bacterial small subunit ribosomal RNA
Source: RNAcentral
AUACGGAGGGUGCAAGCGUUAAUCGGAAUUACUGGGCGUAAAGAGUACGUAGGUGGUUUAUUAAGUCAGAUGUGAAAGCCCCGGGCUCAACCUGGGAACUGCAUUUGAAACUAGUAGACUAGAGUAUGGUAGAGGGGGGUAGAAUUUCUAGUGUAGCGGUGAAAUGCGUAGAUAUUAGAAGGAAUACCAGUGGCGAAGGCGGCCCCCUGGACCAAUACUGACACUGAGGUACGAAAGCGUGGGUAGCGAACAGGAUUAGAAACCCGAGUAGUCC